UAGGGAAUCUUCCACAAUGGACGCAAGUCUGAUGGAGCAACGCCGCGUGAGUGAAGAAGGCUUUCGGGUCGUAAAACUCUGUUAUUGAAGAAGAACGUGUGUGACAGUAACUGGUCAUGCAGUGACGGUAUUCAAUCAGAAAGUCACGGCUAACUACGUGCCAGCAGCCGCGGUAAUACGUAGGUGGCAAGCGUUGUCCGGAUUUAUUGGGCGUAAAGCGAGUGCAGGCGGUCUUUUAAGUCUGAUGUGAAAGCCUUCGGCUUAACCGAAGAAGGGCAUCGGAAACUGGGAGACUUGAGUGCAGAGGAGGAGAGUGGAACUCCAUGUGUAGCGGUGAAAUGCGUAGAUAUAUGGAAGAACACCAGUGGCGAAGGCGGCUCUCUGGUCUGUAACUGACGCUGAGGCUCGAAAAGCGUGGGUAGCAAAACAGGAU
This 433-nucleotide ribosomal RNA is filed under the name uncultured bacterium. RNAcentral's name for it is "partial 16S ribosomal RNA". It matches the Rfam family "Bacterial small subunit ribosomal RNA", at positions 355 to 778 of the family's 1533-position model. The record is from RNAcentral.